This 479-nucleotide ribosomal RNA is filed under the name Cryptosporidium ryanae. RNAcentral describes it as "SSU rRNA". It matches the Rfam family "Eukaryotic small subunit ribosomal RNA", at positions 539 to 1064 of the family's 1831-position model. The record is from RNAcentral. Lineage: Eukaryota; Apicomplexa; Conoidasida; Eucoccidiorida; Cryptosporidiidae.
CAGUAACAAAGUCUGGUGCCAGCAGCCGCGGUAAUUCCAGCUCCAAUAGCGUAUAUUAAAGUUGUUGCAGUUAAAAAGCUCGUAGUUAAUUUUCUGUUAAUUUUUAUAUACAAUGCUACGGUAUUUAUAUAAUAUUAACAUAAUUCAUAUUACUUUUUAGUAUAUGAAACUUUACUUUGAGAAAAUUAGAGUGCUUAAAGCAGGCUAUUGCCUUGAAUACUCCAGCAUGGAAUAAUAUUAAGGAUUAUUAUUCUUCUUAUUGGUUCUAUAAUAAUAAUAAUGAUUAAUAGGGACAGUUGGGGGCAUUUGUAUUUAACAGUCAGAGGUGAAAUUCUUAGAUUUGUUAAAGACAAACUACAGGUGAAGCAUUUGCCAAGGAUGUUUUCAUUAAUCAAGAACGAAAGUUAGGGGAUCGAAGACGAUCAGAUACCGUCGUAGUCUUAACCAUAAACUAUGCCAACUAGAGAUUGGAGGUUGUU